UCAUUCAAUAUUGCCGGUUUGAACGAAAUUGAUCAGUUCACCGGGAGCAUUGUAUCGA
RNAcentral lists this microRNA precursor (58 nucleotides) under Pristionchus pacificus. Its description in RNAcentral is "microRNA ppc-mir-2235a precursor (ppc-mir-2235a-9)". It matches the Rfam family "mir-2235 microRNA precursor family", at positions 19 to 71 of the family's 87-position model. The record is from miRBase by way of RNAcentral. Lineage: Eukaryota; Metazoa; Nematoda; Chromadorea; Rhabditida; Neodiplogasteridae.